ACGGGAGGCAGCAGUGGGGAAUAUUGGACAGUGGGGGAAACCCUGAUCCAGCGACGCCGCGUGAGUGAAGAAGUAUUUCGGUAUGUAAAGCUCUAUCAGCAGGGAAGAUAAUGACGGUACCUGACUAAGAAGCCCCGGCUAACUACGUGCCAGCAGCCGCGGUAAUACGUAGGGGGCAAGCGUUAUCCGGAUUUACUGGGUGUAAAGGGAGCGUAGACGGAAGGCCAAGUCUGAUGUGAAAACCCGGGGCUCAACCCCGGGACUGCAUUGGAAACUGGUCAUCUAGAGUGCAGGAGAGGUAAGUGGAAUUCCUAGUGUAGCGGUGAAAUGCGUAGAUAUUAGGAGGAACACCAGUGGCGAAGGCGGAUUGCUGGACGACAACUGACGGCGAGGCGCGAAAGCGUGGGGAGCAAACAGGAUUAGAUACCCUGGUA
Molecule: ribosomal RNA, 434 nt
Filed under: uncultured Lachnospiraceae bacterium
Lineage: Bacteria; Bacillati; Bacillota; Clostridia; Lachnospirales; Lachnospiraceae
Description: bacterial SSU rRNA
Rfam family: Bacterial small subunit ribosomal RNA
Source: RNAcentral